CCCAUCGUAGUUCAACGGAUAGAACGCAUGCCUCCUAAGCGUGAAAUACAGGUUCGAUUCCUGUCGGUGGGA
Molecule: transfer RNA, 72 nt
Filed under: Simonsiella muelleri (Scheibenbakterien Muller 1911)
Lineage: Bacteria; Pseudomonadati; Pseudomonadota; Betaproteobacteria; Neisseriales; Neisseriaceae
Also listed under: 1 other name
Description: tRNA-Arg(cct)
Rfam family: tRNA
About the family: Transfer RNA (tRNA) molecules are approximately 80 nucleotides in length. Their secondary structure includes four short double-helical elements and three loops (D, anti-codon, and T loops). Further hydrogen bonds mediate the characteristic L-shaped molecular structure. tRNAs have two regions of fundamental functional importance: the anti-codon, which is responsible for specific mRNA codon recognition, and the 3' end, to which the tRNAs corresponding amino acid is attached (by aminoacyl-tRNA synthetases). tRNAs cope with the degeneracy of the genetic code in two manners: having more than one tRNA (with a specific anti-codon) for a particular amino acid; and 'wobble' base-pairing, i.e. permitting non-standard base-pairing at the 3rd anti-codon position.
Source: RNAcentral